GUCGUUGUAGGUGUGACUACAUGCACCCAACCUACGGUACCAACAAACGGCAGUAUCACUCCUGAUACUCCUACAUAUGACCUAUAUACCCGAAUCACAUACGCCUGCGACGACGGGUAUACGUUGGGAGGCCCAUGCGAAGCGGUCUGCGAAUCGGGUGGGGUCUGGAAUCCGUCCACUGUACCCACUUGCGAAUCCAACUGUGCCAAACCCACUCUGACCAAUGGAGGCGUCAGUCCAGAUCAAGAUUCUUUUAGUAACGGCGAGGUUCUCGUUUAUGAAUGUAACACGAACUAUACCUUGGUCGGGGUAUCCACAGCAACAUGCCGCAGUGGAGUCUAUGAUCCCUCGAGCAAACCAACCUGCUACGAAAAUUGCGAUGUGAGUGCUGUACCUGAUUCAGAUUAUUCAUUUGGUGGUACAGUCACGCAUGGUACGACUUUCAACGUAACGUGUGA
Molecule: long non-coding RNA, 458 nt
Organism: Strongylocentrotus purpuratus (purple sea urchin)
Lineage: Eukaryota; Metazoa; Echinodermata; Echinoidea; Camarodonta; Strongylocentrotidae
Exons: 3
Source: RefSeq, a predicted model, not a curated record